GAUGAACGCUCGCUACAGGCUUAACACAUGCAAGUCGCGGGGCAGCAUGGGGGUUGCUUGCAAUCCCCGAUGGCGACCGGCGCACGGGUGAGUAACGCGUAUCCAACCUGCCCUUCACCACGGGAUAACCCGGCGAAAGUCGGACUAAUACCGUAUGUUGUCCAUUGACGGCCUCCGAUUUGGACGAAAGGCUUGGCGGUGAGGGAUGGGGAUGCGUCCGAUUAGCCAGACGGCGGGGUAACGGCCCACCGUGGCUACGAUCGGUAGGGGUUCUGAGAGGAAGGUCCCCCACACUGGAACUGAGACACGGUCCAGACUACUACGGGAGGCAGCAGUGAGGAAUAUUGGUCAAUGGGCGUAAGCCUGAACCAGCCAAGUAGCGUGCAGGAUGACGGCCCUAUGGGUGGUAAACUGCUUUUAUGCGGGGAUAAAGUGGCCCACGUGUGGGCUUUUGCAGGUACCGCAUGAAUAAGGACCGGCUAAUUCCGUG
RNAcentral lists this ribosomal RNA (490 nucleotides) under uncultured bacterium. RNAcentral describes it as "partial 16S ribosomal RNA". It matches the Rfam family "Bacterial small subunit ribosomal RNA", at positions 28 to 507 of the family's 1533-position model. The record is from RNAcentral.